This is a long non-coding RNA of Phacochoerus africanus (Common warthog), 897 nucleotides long. RefSeq lists it as uncharacterized. Lineage: Eukaryota; Metazoa; Chordata; Mammalia; Artiodactyla; Suidae. The transcript is spliced from 5 exons. The record is from RefSeq and is a predicted model, not a curated record.
CUCGAUUCCUGAUGCUGGCUGCCUCCGGGCCUGCUUGCUAUUCUGGUGCCCAAAGUCCCACACAGCUCUGCCAGCCAAAGCCACGGUGAACAGCAGCAGCCGAUAAGGGUGGACUUCCCUGGAGGCAGAAUGCUUGGGCAAGAGGAUCCAUGCAAGCAGAUGCCUUCUUUUCAGCCUCAGGCUCCUGCUACAACCGCAAGGGACUUGACCUCAUGUGCCCAUGUGGGAAUCUCAGGAGUGCUCCGCGGGAACCAUCUUCUGACGGUCUGAAUGUCUCACUCUUUCACUAAGAAGACCAGGGAUGCGGAGCCCAAGGAAAGAAAACACCAGGUGAAGAGAUGUGAGAAAGUGGCAGGACACUGACCCGAAAUUCCAGAAGCUGAGCUUCCAGUCCUGGUUCUACCAUCACCAGCUCCAUGGCCCUGAAUCCUGUACCAGACACUUGGCAUCCACUUUCGUGUUUCAUCUUCACAGCAACGGCAAGAGAUACGUAUUUUUUUAAUUCAAUGAAUUUUAUUAUAUUUAUAGUUGUACAACCAUCAAAGAGAUCAGUGUUAUUCACCCCUCAUUUUUCCCCUCAGGAAAUGAAGACUCAAAAAGAUGAAAGCCGCAACAUUAAUAAGCCAUUAUAGAUUCAGACCCAGUCCUGGGGGCUCCAAGCCCAGAAGGAACUCCUCUGGAAAGACAAUUUCAUGUCAGCCCAGGCCCUUUAGGGGCAGAAAGCUGACACCUGCAUGUAGAGAAGGAAGCUGUCCUUGGGGGGGGGGGGGUGCAGCAUUUCCCCUAAAGCCAUCUCCCUCUUCUUUCAAGUCAGGCUUAAAGAUCCAAACCACAAAGGAAGAUGAAAGAAUCUUGUUGAUGAAGGCCUCCACCCUGAAAAAAGGAAGGGGGGAAAAA